Molecule: ribosomal RNA, 397 nt
Filed under: uncultured bacterium
Lineage: Bacteria
Description: partial 16S ribosomal RNA
Rfam family: Bacterial small subunit ribosomal RNA
Source: RNAcentral
AUACGUAGGGGGCGAGCGUUGUCCGGAAUGAUUGGGCGUAAAGGGCGCGUAGGCGGCCCGGUAAGUCUGGAGUGAAAGUCCUGUUUUUAAGAUGGGAAUUGCUUUGGAUACUGUCGGGCUUGAGUGCAGGAGAGGUAAGUGGAAUUCCCAGUGUAGCGGUGAAAUGCGUAGAGAUUGGGAGGAACACCAGUGGCGAAGGCGACUUACAGGACUGUAACUGACGCUGAGGCGCGAAAGUGUGGGGGGCAAACAGGAUUAGAUGCCCUGGUAGUCCACACUGUAAACGAUGAAUGCUAGGUGUAGGGAGUAUCGACCCCUUCUGUGCCGCAGUCAACACAAUAAGCAUUCCGCCUGGGGAGUACGGCCGCAAGGUUGAAACUCAAAGUAAUUGGCGGGG